This 506-nucleotide ribosomal RNA is filed under the name uncultured bacterium. RNAcentral's name for it is "bacterial SSU rRNA". It matches the Rfam family "Bacterial small subunit ribosomal RNA", at positions 8 to 518 of the family's 1533-position model. The record is from RNAcentral.
AGGGUUCGAUUCUGGCUCAGGAUGAACGCUGGCGGCGUGCCUAACACAUGCAAGUCGAACGGACCCAUGGAAAUGAUUAGCUGCUAUGAAAUUCCGGAAGGUUAGUGGCGGACGGGUGAGUAACGCGUGGGCAACCUGCCUGUACUGGGGGAUAGCAGCUGGAAACGGCUGGUAAUACCGCAUAAGCGCACAGUACCGCAUGGUACAGUGUGAAAAGCUCCGACGGUACAGGAUGGGCCCGCGUCCGAUUAGCCAGUUGGCGGGGUAACGGCCCACCAAAGCGACGAUCGGUAGCCGGCCUGAGAGGGCGGACGGCCACAUGGACUGAGACACGGCCCAGACUCCUACGGGAGGCAGCAGUGGGGGAUAUUGCACAAUGGGGGAAACCCUGAUGCAGCGACGCCGCGUGGGUGAAGAAGUAUUUCGGUAUGUAAAGCCCUAUCAGCAGGGACGAUAAUGACGGUACCUGAGUAAGAAGCCCCGGCUAACUACGUGCCAGCCGCCGC